This 254-nucleotide ribosomal RNA is filed under the name uncultured bacterium. RNAcentral describes it as "partial 16S ribosomal RNA". It matches the Rfam family "Bacterial small subunit ribosomal RNA", at positions 1238 to 1500 of the family's 1533-position model. The record is from RNAcentral.
UACAGAGGGCCGCUACCACGCGAGUGGAUGCCAAUCCCCAAAACCUCUCUCAGUUCGGACUGGAGUCUGCAACCCGACUCCACGAAGCUGGAUUCGCUAGUAAUCGCGCAUCAGCCACGGCGCGGUGAAUACGUUCCCGGGCCUUGUACACACCGCCCGUCAAGCCAUGGGAGCCGGGGGUACCUGAAGUGCGUAACCGCGAGGAGCGCCCUAGGGUAAAACUGGUGACUGGGGCUAAGUCGUAACAAGGUAAC